UACAGAGGGUGCGAGCGUUAAUCGGAAUUACUGGGCGUAAAGGGUGCGUAGGUGGUUAUUUAAGUUAGAUGUGAAAUCCCUGGGCUUAACCUAGGAAUUGCAUUUAAGACUGGAUAGCUAGAGUUUGAGAGAGGGAAGUGGAAUUUCCGGUGUAGCGGUGAAAUGCGUAGAUAUCGGAAGGAACAUCAGUGGCGAAGGCGACUUCCUGGCUCGAUACUGACACUGAGGCACGAAAGCGUGGGGAGCAAACAGG
This 253-nucleotide ribosomal RNA is filed under the name uncultured bacterium. Its description in RNAcentral is "partial 16S ribosomal RNA". It matches the Rfam family "Bacterial small subunit ribosomal RNA", at positions 524 to 776 of the family's 1533-position model. The record is from RNAcentral.